This 253-nucleotide ribosomal RNA is filed under the name uncultured bacterium. RNAcentral describes it as "partial 16S ribosomal RNA". It matches the Rfam family "Bacterial small subunit ribosomal RNA", at positions 524 to 776 of the family's 1533-position model. The record is from RNAcentral.
UACGAAGGGGGCUAGCGUUGUUCGGAUUUACUGGGCGUAAAGCGCACGUAGGCGGAUUUGUCAGUCAGGGGUGAAAUCCCGGGGCUCAACCUCGGAACUGCCUCUGAUACAGCAAAUCUCGAGUCCGGAAGAGGUGAGUGGAACUCCUAGUGUAGAGGUGAAAUUCGUAGAUAUUAGGAAGAGCACCAGUGGCGAAGGCGGCUCACUGGUCCGGAACUGACGCUGAGGUGCGAAAGCGUGGGGAGCAAACAGG